CUACGGGUGGCUGCAGUGGGGAAUCUUGGACAAUGGGCGCAAGCCUGAUCCAGCCAUGCCGCGUGAGUGAUGAAGGCCUUAGGGUCGUAAAGCUCUUUCGCCAGGGAUGAUAAUGACAGUACCUGGUAAAGAAACCCCGGCUAACUCCGUGCCAGCAGCCGCGGGUAAUACGGAGGGGGUUAGCGUUGUUCGGAAUUACUGGGCGUAAAGCGCGCGUAGGCGGACCAGAAAGUUGGGGGUGAAAUCCCGGGGCUCAACCCCGGAACGGCCUCCAAAACUCCUGGUCUUGAGUUCGAGAGAGGUGAGUGGAAUUCCGAGUGUAGAGGUGAAAUUCGUAGAUAUUCGGAGGAACACCAGUGGCGAAGGCGACUCACUGGCUCGAUACUGACGCUGAGGUGCGAAAGUGUGGGGAGCAAACAGGAUUAGAUACCCCUGUAGUC
Molecule: ribosomal RNA, 440 nt
Filed under: uncultured bacterium
Lineage: Bacteria
Description: partial 16S ribosomal RNA
Rfam family: Bacterial small subunit ribosomal RNA
Source: RNAcentral